AUUGAACGCUGGCGGCAGGCCUAACACAUGCAAGUCGAGCGGACGAAGGGGGCUUGUUCCUGGCUUCAGUUGCCGACGGGUGAGUAAUUCCUAGGAAUCUGCCUGGUCUUGGGGGAUAGCGUCCGGUAACGGGCGCUAAUAUCGCAUACGUUAUUAGGUUGAAAGUGGUGGAUCUUCGGACCUCACGCUAUUAGCUGAGCCUAGGUCGGAUUAGCUGGUUGGUGAGGUAAAGGCUUACCAAGGCGACGAUCCGUAACUGGUCUGAGAGGAUGAUCAGUCACACUGGAACUGAGACACGGUCCAGACUCCUACGGGAGGCAGCAGUAGGGAAUCUUGGGCAAUGGGCGAAAGCCUGAUGCAGCCAUGCCGCGUGUGUGAAGAAGGUCUUCGGAUUGUAAAGCACUUUAAGUUGGGAGGAAGAGCAGUAAGUUAAUACCUGCCUGUUUUGACGGUACCAAAAGAGAAAGCACCGGCUAACUUCGUG
Molecule: ribosomal RNA, 484 nt
Filed under: uncultured bacterium
Lineage: Bacteria
Description: partial 16S ribosomal RNA
Rfam family: Bacterial small subunit ribosomal RNA
Source: RNAcentral